AUACGGAGGGGGCUAGCGUUGUUCGGAAUUACUGGGCGUAAAGCGCGUGUAGGCGGAUCGUUAAGUCAGGGGUGAAAGCCCGGAGCUCAACUCCGGAAUUGCCCUUGAUACUGGCGAUCUAGAGGCCGGGAGAGGUGAGCGGAAUUCCCAGUGUAGAGGUGAAAUCCGUAGAUAUUGGGAGGAACACCAGUGGCGAAGGCGGCUCACUGGCCCGGUUCUGACGCUGAGACGCGAAAGCGUGGGGAGCAAACAGGAUUAGAAACCCUAGUAGUCC
Molecule: ribosomal RNA, 274 nt
Filed under: uncultured bacterium
Lineage: Bacteria
Description: partial 16S ribosomal RNA
Rfam family: Bacterial small subunit ribosomal RNA
Source: RNAcentral